Molecule: long non-coding RNA, 1336 nt
Organism: Pristis pectinata (smalltooth sawfish)
Lineage: Eukaryota; Metazoa; Chordata; Chondrichthyes; Rhinopristiformes; Pristidae
Exons: 5
Source: RefSeq, a predicted model, not a curated record
GGCAAGUGCUGCUUUUCCUUUAUCUCAAUUGGUUGGAGUUUCUCCUUUUUGAAGCCGGUGAUCUCCUGCUGCAGAUCGCUACCGAUUGCGUGCUUGGGUUCCUCAUCUGCCAUCUCUAGAGGCCGGCGAGCUGCACCAGAACAGAAGUGAUGCUGACUGACCUACUGAGCAUUUCCAGCACAUUCAGUUUUUAUGUUCUAUUGCCUGCAAUACUCAUUGUUGAAGAACCCCAAAUGUACUGCUCAACACCACCUGGACCCUCAUCUAGGAGCAGCCAGCCUGAUCUAUGUAUGUCCCACCUUUCAGGGACUUUGUCAGGGAUGGAGAAAUUUGGCUAUGAAGAAAGAUUGGCUUGGUGCUUGCUGCCCUGCUGAGGAUGAUUUCUUUAAAUGCUAGGAGAAUUGAAUGCAAAAGUCCCAGAAGCCAAGUUUGCCAUCGGCAAGACACACUUCCUGCAACGUGUGAGAUAAAAGAAAUUGAAGCUGAGGAUGGGAAUAUGAAUGAAUCUAAUACUGUUCUCAGUGGGAUCCCUCUUCAUACAUUCUGAGCCAGUAAACACUGAAGCAGGAGCAGUAGAAGAAAAGGAGGGCCAAGUGAUAACCAAAAUGAUCUUCCCUGCAGUAGAAGUUACUGAAGGAUGAGUUCCAAUUGUCCUGGCUGCAGCUGGUGGUUCUGCAGGGAGAUGCCAGUGUUCAGCUGUAGGUCCCAGAGCCAUGUGAAGCUGCUGCAGUUCUAGGACUUGCUGACGGACUGAUGCGACCACAUCCGUUGCUACACCUCUUUCCUGAACUUUACCUGAAGUUCACGUCUUGCUGGAACCUGCAGCAUAACACUGAGGAAACUUCCUUUUGACCAGUUGUGAGAUGGGAGACCCCAUUUACUUAAACGGAGAUUCUUGGCCUGUAGAAUGGGGAAUUGGUUUUAUUAGUUACUUCAAUAUUUUUAAGGAUUUGGAAGCCAUUUUAGUGUUUUUUUAAUUAUAUUUGAGUUUUUAAAUAAUUACAAUGGUUUUAAUUAUUUGCUUCAAUUUUAACAGUUUUUAAAUGUUGUACAUUCAGAAAUGGUUAAUAUCACUUAUCAGCUUUGACAGGUGACCAAACUUCAAUCCAGCACCACUAUCAGUGGUGGGGUGUCCAGCAGUGGAGCCCCACCCCUCCACUACCUGAGGCCUAGUUGAUGCUGUGGCUUGCUACAACUUGUUAGACACUCCACAUCUGAGCGGGAAUGGGCAUGGGCAGAAAACAGAGGUAAGAAGGCAGGUGUGAUUCCUGCCUGAGACUCCCAUCAAGGAAAACUGCAUUUAAUGGAAACACGAGAGACCGCAGAUGCUGGAAUC